AUGUUGUUGUGGCUACUAUCUCAUGGAGGGUCCCAAAAUGGGUGCUCCAAAAAUGCUGCUCCCACUUGGCGCCAAAAAUCAAAAGUUCUCCUGAUGGCUGCACUGAUGCUUGCCUGUGUUGCCACUUUGCCUCUGAAAGUACACUCGUUCCUUGCCUUCCAAAGCUCGGAGAGGAUGAGAAUGAUGGUGGUCUUGAUGGCCUUCUUGUGCUCAGGUCGCGCUGCACUGAUCAUUUCAACGAUGAUGGCAGACGGCUUGGUCUUGUUCUGCCACUGCAGUGGAUGGAGUGAGCUGCACCCGUAG
This 303-nucleotide ribosomal RNA is filed under the name Triticum aestivum (bread wheat). Its description in RNAcentral is "partial small subunit ribosomal RNA". The record is from RNAcentral. Lineage: Eukaryota; Viridiplantae; Streptophyta; Magnoliopsida; Poales; Poaceae.